ACCUCUUUGCAUAAAGCUUCCUGUUCCUGCUCCACCCCUUAUCUGAGCAGCUAGUUAAUAGAUCUGUUGCUGACUAGAACUCUGAGACUAAGUUCCAGUUGCUGCUCAUUUUUCCUGUUGCCCUGACUUGUGCCUUAUUCCUGCUCUUUACCCUAACUCCAGUUAUUGACUAUGGCUUGACUCCUUGGUGUGACUCUGAGUCCAGUUUGACCCUUGGCAUGGCUUCUAACUCUGACUUCAGCUUUGAUCCCAAUGUGACUUCUGGUUACAACUCUGGUUUAAUCCCUGAGGUGGCUUCUAACUCUGAUCCUGGCUUGGCCCUGUGUGACUCUGACUCCGGUUUAACCCUUGCCAAGGCUUCUGACUCUUGCUGUGACCCUUGGUGUGACUACUGACCCUGACUCUACUUCCAGCUGUGACCAUUAGAUCAGACUGCCCACAUUACAGGUUCUGACAGUUCUGAACAACUUACACUGCAGUCUUGUCCUUUGCUGAGGAGGGAAGAAAGAACACAAUAGCUACUGUUGCAUUUUGGAGGUCUCUCUUUGGAUUUGGUGAUCAGUUCUUGGGAAAUUACUGAGGGACAAUUAAGUUUGUUCAGCUAAAGAUUUCUUUUGCCAUGUUACUAUAGCUAUUCAUGUAUUCCCAGCUCUCAGUGAAUACAGGGAAGAAAGGAUGUAUAUUCAGUUUCUAACAGUGUUUGUGUGUGACUUGGAACACUAUAGACUGUGUCAGAAUCAUAGAUUUCAUAUUAUUUUAAUUCCUCUUUGAUGUGCCAAAUUGUUAUGUGAAGUAUUAUUUUCAGCAUAGCCCUGUAUUUCUUUUAGCUCCUUCCUUUGACACUGUGAGGGACUCUACAUCCUCACCACCAGGCAGGGUUUUUUUUUCCCCACCACUGGAGUGCAACUAAUUUGUUUAUUGAGUUAUUUGUUCAUUUGAAAAUGACUUUUAAAAAUUUAGGUUAUAACUACUUUCUCUUUUAGCUGAUGAUAGAAAACAAAAAUGCAUCCAACCGAAUCUGUUACCUCAAAGAAACAGAGCACAUAAUUAGUUGUUACCUAAUAAAAGUAGGAGGUCAUACAUCAAAGGAACAGAACUUACACCCAUUCCUCAUCUUGAUUAGAAUUCUCAAAUUUACUGCAGUAUGCCCCUAUUUCCUGCUGGGUGUUCUUCUUCAUCAGUAACAAAUCCCUUUAGAAGUUGUUGAUAAUAAACACAUGGGGCUGAUUAAAUCUGUAAAACAAUUUGCUUAUUUGCAGUUUCAAUCCUGCUGUGGUUUCUUAUUCAUUCUUUGAAAGGUUUCCAUUUACCGUCUGGGAUUUCUGUGGCUGUGAAACUGAAAUACUUAACAAUCAACAAUGCAGGAGGAAAAUGAGUCACUGAGGAGAGACAAGAAUUUUUCAAUACCAAACUAAGGAUUCUGGGAAGAUCAAGAAGUCAUGCAACAUAUGGGUCUCCUCUGACGUGUGCUGUGUGUAUGGCAUUGGAGCACAAAGCAGGCCCAGCUGGGGAUCUCUGGAAAUGAGAAAUCUGCAGUGAAUGAAGUGACUUUUUCAAAGACGUCCCAGUAUGCUCUUUAUUCAGCCAAGAAAGGGGAAGAAGCCAAGAAAUUGGAGCUUGGGACUCCCCACAGGUGAAGACUACAGGCCAAGCUCUCCUUGCAGGCAUAUACAUGCCUGCAUGGCUUGAAAGUAAAUGGUACAUAAAAUAGAAAAAUCUGGUAUUGUGGUGGGUGCCUAUUUCUGUGCAACUCUGCAAAAAAGUGCUCUUUUUCUCACUGGAGAUUGUGAUGAAAUGUUUGUUUGGCUGCACGCUGUGGACAGAAGCUGUGUGCUUUCUCUAAUCCUGCUAAUAUUUGGACUGACAGACAGACAUUCACUAGGGCUUUGUGCUGCUGUAUACUUGUCACUGUCAUUCCAGGACAUCCCUGCCUCCAUUUAUCUAUCCCUUCCAUUCCCCUACGUAACUCACACUUGAGUGUCUUUUACAGUAGGUGGCUAGUCUGUGGUAGCAUUCUCCCAAAAGUAAUAUCGUCCCCUAAAAUUUAGCAAAAUUUCUGGAGGCCAAGGAAAUCUGUCACUUAAUUUACAUAGCCUAUUUGUUAAUAGCAACUAACCCUAAGCGUCCCCAGUUUUAGCAGCAGAAUAGGGGUGAUAGUGUCAGAGGCUCCAUCUACACCAGAAAGUUGUGCUGGUAAAAGUUCUGUGGACAGAAUGCCGGUGAAGGUGCUUUCACACUCUGCCACGUGUACCAGGACACUAUAGCCACAGUGCAUCUAAUGCAUCCGCAAAAGUUUGUUGUACUGUGGGUGGGCAUCCCCGUGCCCUUCACACCACCUCCAGGCACACUGCCUCUGGAGCAAUUGUCGCUGGAUUUUGCAGGAUGCCUCUGCAACUCUAACGCAAUUGUGGAGGGUUGGGGUCAAAAACCCAAAAUUCCCUCUGUUCCAGCCCAUAAGCAUGUGCUCUUGUGUGUCAUUUUCAAACUCCUGGCAGCAAACAUGGAUGCAAUGCAGAGCAACAACUCGCCUAUAAGGACAGGCCAUAUGAUGAUACCCAAUUUUUCAAACAUAACUAAUCCAAAGUGUCCCCAACUUAGCAGCAGUAAAGGGGUUAUAGUGCAGGAAGAACUCUUGCUGAGGGAACAUCUUCACUGCAGUCCUGGGUAUGAUUUGCAAUUCAUGGAGACGUACCCAUGCUAGCUGUACUCUAGCUAGAACAUGAGCCACCAGACACCCUCCCCCAAGGAAUGUCCUCAGGGUGCAGCCAAUGCUUAAGCCCAUGCUGCUGCAUUCUCCCUUCCAUUUUUAGCAAACUAGCUGGAGUACAGCUAGCAUGCGUAUGUCUACAUGAGCUGCUAAUCACGGCCAUGACUGCAGUGUAGACAUACCCUUAUAUGGCUAAAAGACAGGACUGAGAAUAAGGAGAUCUUAUUUUUAUUCCUGGUUCUUUCACAGACUUCCUGUCAAACCUUGAGCAAGUCACUGGAUUUCUGUGUGCCUUGGCAACCCUGUUUAUAGAAGAGGGUUAAUGCUGCUUUCCUCCCCCAUGGGAGGCUGUGCAGGCUGUGAAGUGGUAGUCCUUUAAUAUCUGAAAAGGAAUCCAGGGAGCUCAGAUGACAGAAUUGUAGCCAGAAAAUGCUAACCCACAUAAAAUGAGCUAUAAGGAAAUGGCAGAAGAGUUGCCAAGGACUGGCCCCUGGGAAAUUUUGAAAUCUAAAUACUCUCAGA
Chelonia mydas (Green sea turtle) is the source of this 3229-nucleotide long non-coding RNA. RefSeq lists it as uncharacterized. Lineage: Eukaryota; Metazoa; Chordata; Testudines; Cheloniidae. The record is from RefSeq and is a predicted model, not a curated record. The transcript is spliced from 3 exons.